AAGCCAUGCGGUAAGCACAGAGCGAACUAUUCUUUCGCCUUUUACUAAAGAAUACCGUGUACUUGCGGCUUUUUGGUGGCAUACGUCUAUUUUUGGAGGAGGGGCUGGCUCAUUU
Non-coding RNA from Jatropha curcas, 115 nucleotides. Lineage: Eukaryota; Viridiplantae; Streptophyta; Magnoliopsida; Malpighiales; Euphorbiaceae. The record is from Rfam.